Molecule: microRNA, 21 nt
Filed under: Caenorhabditis elegans
Lineage: Eukaryota; Metazoa; Nematoda; Chromadorea; Rhabditida; Rhabditidae
Source: RNAcentral
GGGGUUGUAGAUAUAGAAGAC